This 492-nucleotide ribosomal RNA is filed under the name uncultured bacterium. Its description in RNAcentral is "partial 16S ribosomal RNA". It matches the Rfam family "Bacterial small subunit ribosomal RNA", at positions 29 to 507 of the family's 1533-position model. The record is from RNAcentral.
AGUGAACGCUGGCGGUAGGCCUAACACAUGCAAGUCGAACGGCAGCACAGUAAGAGCUUGCUCUUACGGGUGGCGAGUGGCGGACGGGUGAGGAAUACAUCGGCAUCUACUUUUUCGUGGGGGAUAACGUAGGGAAACUUACGCUAAUACCGCAUACGACCUACGGGUGAAAGCAGGGGAUCUUCGGACCUUUCGCGAUUGAAUGAGCCGAUGCCGGAUUAGCUAGUUGGCGGGGUAAAGGCCCACCAAGGCGACGAUCCGUAGCUGGUCUGAGAGGAUGAUCAGCCACACUGGAACUGAGACACGGUCCAGACUCCUACGGGAGGCAGCAGUGGGGAAUAUUGGACAAUGGGCGAAAGCCUGAUCCAGCCAUACCGCGUGGGUGAAGAAGGCCUUCGGGUUGUAAAGCCCUUUUAUUGGGAAAGAAAAGCAGCAGGUUAAUCCCCCGCUGUUCUGACGGUACCCAAAGAAUAAGCACCGGCUAACUUCGUG